UCGCUAUCAUGUGUGUUUGUGAGGCGUUGGUGGAAGUGUUUUGCUAGGUUACAGUCGGCCAGACUGAGUGUACAAACAUCGAACCAUCGAUCGAAUGAAGUCAAACCUCCCUGUCAAGAUAUGGCAAAACAAACACCCAUUUGAUGUUGGUCAAUAGCAUGUGAUACAUAAUAAGACUGACUUGUUUAUAUCUCUGAUGCUUCAAGCGCGAAUCACACAAGAAAGUCUAUGAUCGCAGAAGACAGAGGAUUUCUUCAGUGGCACCAAACAAAUUAAGCACAGGUCAAGAAGAAUUAGCCAAACGUAAGCAAAAGCAAACGCAAGUGUUGUAUUGCGAUUUGGCUGAGGUCUGAA
Molecule: long non-coding RNA, 354 nt
Organism: Stylophora pistillata
Lineage: Eukaryota; Metazoa; Cnidaria; Anthozoa; Scleractinia; Pocilloporidae
Source: RefSeq, a predicted model, not a curated record